AAGAAGACUAGAAGCACUGGGUAAAUGCACGACUUGUUCUUGCCUUCUAAAGCAGAGAGGAGCUUUUGUGGGUAGUUCCUACAGGGAUACAUGGUAGAAAAUUCACCAAACCCAGUGCUGGAGUGACAUGCUCUGGAGUCAGAAGACAGCGAAAAGAGAAGCAGAAGCCCCGGUGGCAAGAGUCUGAAGAAUUUUUUUUUUAACAGCAGGAAGGAUGACUGUAGCCUGUGGAUUGUACUGCAGUAGGAAACUGUCCUAGCAAGGCUCCACUUUGCCCCAGCUUCAAGCUGGAAAGGAGGAGAACAUGAAACAUUGCUUGAAGACAAUGGCCGAGACAGCAGGUCCCACCCUGCACAGCCACCAGCAUCUCUCCCCUCAGCCCUGUCUCCUCUUCUGCAGUUGGGAUCUGCACAUUUAAGCCUGAAAUUGUCCUGUGAAGUGAAGUAUGAUCGGACAGCCUCUUUUCAGCUUUUAUGACAAUGGAGACAGAGGAAUUGUGGCUCUUGCCAAGGUCACAGGAUUGGAAUACAGAGCCAAGCCACCCCAGGACAUGCAAGAGCCUCAGAAGGGAAAAAAGCCCAGCAGGAAGGGAGAACAAGUAGCCUCUGUCCUGAAGUUGUAACAGCCAGGGGCCAGGAUGGAGGAGGAGGACCCCAUAAUCUGCCCAUCUGGGACUUGGCAGGGGACCUGGGAAAAUGUACCCCAACCCAUCCCUUAAGGGCCUUUGUCUUUGGCCCAUUGGCCUAGCA
This 749-nucleotide long non-coding RNA is filed under the name Homo sapiens (human). Its description in RNAcentral is "MIR9-3 host gene". The record is from RNAcentral. Lineage: Eukaryota; Metazoa; Chordata; Mammalia; Primates; Hominidae.